Molecule: ribosomal RNA, 114 nt
Filed under: Acanthosepion pharaonis
Lineage: Eukaryota; Metazoa; Mollusca; Cephalopoda; Sepiida; Sepiidae
Source: RNAcentral
CUUGCGGCCAUAUCACGUUGAAAUACCGGUUCUCGUCCGAUCACCGAAGUUAAGCAACGUCGAGCCUGGUCAGUACCUAGAUAAGUGAUCGCUUGAGAAUACCAGUUGCUGAAA